GACGAACGCUGGCGGCAGGCUUAACACAUGCAAGUCGAACGCCCCGCAAGGGGAGUGGCAGACGGGUGAGUAACACGUGGGAACGUACCCUUUGGUUCGGAAUAACUUGGGGAAACUCAAGCUAAUACCGGAUAAGCCCUUAUGGGGAAAGGUUUACUGCCGAAGGAUCGGCCCGCGUCUGAUUAGCUAGUUGGUGAGGUAACGGCUCACCAAGGCGACGAUCAGUAGCUGGUCUGAGAGGAUGAUCAGCCACACUGGGACUGAGACACGGCCCAGACUCCUACGGGAGGCAGCAGUGGGUAAUAUUGGACAAUGGGAGCAACCCUGAUCCAGCCAUGCAGCGUGAGUGAUGAAGGCCUUAGGGUUGUAAAGCUCUUUUACCCGGGAUGAUAAUGACAGUACCGGGAGAAUAAGCCCCGGCUAACUCCGUGCCAGCAGCCGCCGCCG
This 447-nucleotide ribosomal RNA is filed under the name uncultured bacterium. Its description in RNAcentral is "partial 16S ribosomal RNA". It matches the Rfam family "Bacterial small subunit ribosomal RNA", at positions 28 to 523 of the family's 1533-position model. The record is from RNAcentral.